This 216-nucleotide long non-coding RNA is filed under the name Elaeis guineensis (African oil palm). RNAcentral's name for it is "long non-coding RNA (EGUI_LNC059060)". Lineage: Eukaryota; Viridiplantae; Streptophyta; Magnoliopsida; Arecales; Arecaceae. The record is from RNAcentral.
UGGUUUGACCUGACCCAAAUGCCCACCAAAUUAGGCUAGCAAAUGAGUAAGGCAUGAGAUCAAAUUGAUCUCUAAAAGAGCUAGAGAUUCCACACGUGCUAGCAUACUUACCAGAACCCCGAUUGAAUCCAAAAUUUCAAUCAACCUUUUUAAAAAGGGUCCUUGGCUAAUUUCUAUAUGUGUGUGACCCAUUGAGUUCCACAUCUAGCUAAUAGU